GACGAACGCUGGCGGCGUGCCUAAUACAUGCAAGUUGAGCGAUGAAGAUUGGUGCUUGCACCAAUUUGAAGAGCAGCGAACGGGUGAGUAACGCGUGGGGAAUCUGCCUUUGAGCCGGGGACAACAUUUGGAAACGAAUGCUAAUACCGCAUAACAACUUUAAACAUAAGUUUUAAGUUUGAAAGAUGCAAUUGCAUCACUCAAAGAUGAUCCCGCGUUGUAUUAGCUAGUUGGUGAGGUAAAGGCUCACCAAGGCGAUGAUACAUAGCCGACCUGAGAGGGUGAUCGGCCACAUUGGGACUGAGACACGGCCCAAACUCCUACGGGAGGCAGCAGUAGGGAAUCUUCGGCAAUGGACGAAAGUCUGACCGAGCAACGCCGCGUGAGUGAAGAAGGUUUUCGGAUCGUAAAACUCUGUUGGUAGAGAAGAACGUUGGUGAGAGUGGAAAGCUCAUCAAGUGACGGUAACUACCCAGAAAGGGACGGCUAACUACGUG
Molecule: ribosomal RNA, 497 nt
Filed under: uncultured bacterium
Lineage: Bacteria
Description: partial 16S ribosomal RNA
Rfam family: Bacterial small subunit ribosomal RNA
Source: RNAcentral